UUAGAUUAAAAGUUGAAAAUCAACGCCAACAAAUAACCAGUUCUUGAGGAUCUUGGUUAAACAGUUAAUUAUAUCAGUAUAUAAUUAAUUUGAUUUUAGUUUAAUUGUAGAGAUUAGAAAAACAAAUAAAUCUAAUGAAUUCCAAAAUUAAAGAUGUAGGUUGAAGCCUAAGAAAGAUCUUAUGAAACACCAAGUAUGGCUUCUAAAUCUGAUUUUUGUUCAACUAGUCUUACUAAGAAAGAUGGAAUCAAACUGAAUUAUUACCUCUAAUUCAAGUUCUUUAUUUACAUGCAUACUUUACAUACAUCUGAGAUCCUACUCAAAGGAAACACUACAUUUCAAAAUUUAAGAGUUGAAAGAAGGCCAAAAUCAAAGAUCCAAAGCUUCAAAAACAAAAAUAUAUGAAUCCUUCAUUCAUGGUUGAGAGAUUAUCUACCGAUCAUAAUUCUGCUAGUUCUGGGUAGGAUUUGGGACACUGGGUGGCAUCUUUCUCAGACCUGGCUCCACAGCUUUCUUGGGCUCUUUCAUGCCUGCUCCUUUACCAUGAGUAGGAAAUGAAGCCAGGGAUGACAGUAGCUUCCUUGAACUUAUAAUAUGAUUUCUUUCUCCAGAAGAGACGUCGCCAUGGCUGACACAAAACGAGGAGCAUGAGAUGAGGAUGUGAAGUAGAAUUAACGCCCACAAAGCACUCAAAUUGAUGCAACUGAUCUUCAUCACGAUGGAAAAUGAAAUGAGAAACCACCAAGCCAUUCAAAGGGUCUUAAACUGGUUUAUAAGGGGCAGCAUGCAUGCGUGUUCUUUUGCACGUGGUUUGUCAUAACCCCACUACCCAUAACAUAAAAUUAUAUUUUUAUUUGUAUUUUAAUUUAAUUAUAGCUA
Molecule: long non-coding RNA, 879 nt
Filed under: Gossypium raimondii (Peruvian cotton)
Lineage: Eukaryota; Viridiplantae; Streptophyta; Magnoliopsida; Malvales; Malvaceae
Description: long non-coding RNA (GRAI_LNC004878)
Source: RNAcentral